UUAAAUUGAAGAGUUUGAUCAUGGCUCAGAUUGAACGCUGGCGGCAGGCCUAACACAUGCAAGUCGAACGGUAACAGRAAGCAGCUUGCUGCUUUGCUGACGAGUGGCGGACGG
RNAcentral lists this ribosomal RNA (114 nucleotides) under Escherichia coli. RNAcentral's name for it is "partial 16S ribosomal RNA". It matches the Rfam family "Bacterial small subunit ribosomal RNA", at positions 1 to 105 of the family's 1533-position model. Lineage: Bacteria; Pseudomonadati; Pseudomonadota; Gammaproteobacteria; Enterobacterales; Enterobacteriaceae. The record is from RNAcentral.